CCGUAGCGCGGUGGUCCCACCUGACCCCAUGCCGAACUCAGAAGUGAAACGCCGUAGCGCCGAUGGUAGUGUGGGGUCUCCCCAUGCGAGAGUAGGGAACUGCCAGGCA
Molecule: ribosomal RNA, 109 nt
Filed under: Shigella flexneri
Lineage: Bacteria; Pseudomonadati; Pseudomonadota; Gammaproteobacteria; Enterobacterales; Enterobacteriaceae
Also listed under: 1 other name
Source: RNAcentral